This 12286-nucleotide long non-coding RNA is filed under the name Phaseolus vulgaris (common bean). RNAcentral describes it as "long non-coding RNA (PVUL_LNC002830)". The record is from RNAcentral. Lineage: Eukaryota; Viridiplantae; Streptophyta; Magnoliopsida; Fabales; Fabaceae.
UUGAUGGGUCAGAGAAUUCAUUUGUUAAGGUGAACAUAAAGAAGGAAGAGACGAGUUCAGGAGAAUCACCCAGAAAGAGUUAUUUAAAAGCUGUUAAAGAAGUGGCAAAGACAGAGAAAGAUGCUCAGAUAAGACUGAAACUGUAUGAGCCAUCAGAAUUUCAUGUGGUGAAUCCAUUGAAGAAGACAAGGGUAGGGAACCCUGUGGGGUAUAAAUUGGUUCCAGGUGGCACAGCAGCUAGCCUGCUGGAUCCAGAAGACCCACCACAGAAAAGAGCAGCCUUUACCAACAAUCAGAUAUGGGUCACUCCAUACAACAAGACUGAGCAAUGGGCUGGUGGCUCAUUCGUUUACCAGAGCAAAGGAGAUGAUACUCUUCAAGUCUGGUCCAACAGGUUACACAUUCUUUUCAUCAUUCUACCUUUUUUUAUGUCAUGUUUCAAUGUCAAUUCUAUAAUCAUGAAUAAUGUCACAUUUGCUGAAAUAUAAAUAGUUGAAGUACAUGUAGAUCCAUAACUUUAGAAAUCAGAACCAUUAACCAUUAAGAAAAAACUGAACAAACCUCGUCAAGACGGUAAAUGACUUUGAUAUCAUAUUAUAAAAUAGAUUCUAAAUGAUUUUGAUAUCACAUUAUAAAAUAAACUCUAAAUGACUUUGAUAUCAUAUUAGAAAAUGUACUUUACACCUAAUUCAAUUUUACAAAAUCAACUUAGAACCACUUAUAUGCUAUAAAAUGUUAUUAUCUUUAAUCGACAUGAGAUCUUAGAAAUGAGAGAAAAAUAGUUGAAAUUCAUGUAGAUCCUUCACUUAAGAAAUAUCUUAGAAAUGAGAGAAAAAUUAGUUGAAAUUCAUGUAGAUCCUUCACUUAAGAAAUAGGACCACUAAAUUUGAAGUCAGAGACAAAUAGUUGAAAUCCUUGUAGAUCACCACUUUAUAAAUAGGAUCACUAAAUUACAAACGAGAGACAAGUAAUUUUACCAAGUAUAGAGUGUGCUGAAAAAGAAUGCUAGAGUACGUGUUGGGAGAGGUGAGAGUCAUGAAUGCAUAUGCGUGUUCAUGAGGAAUUACUCUUUAUUUGGAGAUAUACAACUCAUACUUACAUGUCAUUCUCAUUAUAUGUUGGCAAAUAAGAAUGGAGAACAAUUUAAAAUCAUUGUUUGUGAGGUAUACAACCAGAGAUAAUUCAGGAAAACUUUGGUUUAUCAUUUCAUAUCUUGUGUCGUCAUGGAUCAGUAAAAGGAAAGAUGAACUUUCGUGUACUCAAAAAACAUAGGUUGGAGAAAGUGCUCACUCACCAAAUGCUGAACUUUUUUACCAGUGAAGACAUCAUGUUAAAUUCUGAAAGUGUUUGAUGUUUGAUAUGCAGGGAUCGUCCAAUUGAGAAUAAGGACAUAGUUUUGUGGUACACAAUAGGAUUUCAUCACAUACCAUGUCAAGAGGACUACCCUAUUAUGCCUACUGUGUCAUCAAGUUUUGAUUUGAAGCCUGUUAAUUUCUUUGAGAGAAAUCCAAUUCUUGGAGUUCCUCCCAAUUUGGAUGAAGAUUUACCUGUUUGCAAGGCUCAUGAUUCAGCUUGAGAUUCCAUUAGAUGCAUGCUUUAUUUAUACAUGAACAAAAUGGGUAUGCCCAAAACUCAUAUUUAAAUAAUUAGUUUGGGCAGCCAAAAUUGGACUAUCAUGUUAAAUUUCUAGAAUGUGACUCCAAUCCCAAUGUAUAUCAAAAUUACUUUUUCCCUAUUUAGUUAUAACAUUCUUGCCUUUUCUUUAUGACAAACAUAAAUAUGUGCCAAAAAAUGUAAUGAAGAAGUAAAUGUUUUUUAUAAGAUCUUCAAAGCAUAUGAAAUAUAUUAAGGUUCUGUUCUAAUCAGAUGACCAUUUCACUAAACCAUAAAAAAAAAGCAUAAGUAAAUAAAAAGAAGGUAUAGUGUGCAGAAUACACCUCUCAUAUUGAGAGUUUUUUUUCAUAUCAAAAUGAAGUUUUUAUACUCCACUCAAGAAAAGACUUAGUUGAAAGUUAGCUUGUAUAUUUAAUUGGUUAUUUAAAAACAUAAUAGUUGAAACAAGAUGCAUAACAGGAGAACUUAUAAUUUUGAAUUGUAAAUUGUUUCAUAUUAUGAAUAAUAAUAUUCAUAAAUAUUUAAAAUAUUUAAAUAUAAAAUAUAUAAAUAUGUAAAGAUACUUCGAUCUUAGCAACUCAAUCUAAAAAAAACAUAGUUAUUGUUGUACAUAAUGAUUAAUGAUUAUAUGUUACUAAAUAAAAGAUUUUGUGUUAUAAUCAUUAAAAAAAAAAUAAGUGUUAGUUGAUUGCUAGUGCAUAAUAGAUAUAACUCUUUUUUUAGAAGGAGUUCACACCCGUGUAACCCGUCUUAUUUCACAUAAUCAUAAUAGGUUACAUAAUUAUAAUAGGUUGGGGUCAUGCAUAUUUUCACAAGAUAUUCAUGAAAUUGUUGAUGGUGAUCCAUCAAUACCAAUUGUGACUAUAAUUUGACAUAUCAAGUCCUUUUGGGGCACACUUUGACAUAUAAAAAGGUUUGGUUGGCAAAGUAUGAAGUCGUUGUAAAGAAAACCUGCCAACCUCACACAACCAUACAAUUAGGAGGAUGAAGACCUGUUUAUUGAUUUAACUGUAAAUAUGGAUCUAAAUGAGGCUUUUUUUUUUAUUUUUGUAGGCCCAAUCAAGAGGACAACUUUAAGGUGAAAGAAUGUACAAACAUAUCCAAGAAGCCCUUCAAGUUAUCAAAAUAUAAACUAGAGUUUUGGUUAGAAGAACACAAGAAGACUGAGUUUUGCUAACUAGUCUACAUUAUUUUCUGGUCAAGCUUUAGCUUAAAUAAAUUGUAUAAAGUUGUUUAGAAUUUUAUGGGUCAUGUAUUGGGCCUAGUAGCAUAAAAUAAUGGCUUCUUCUUCCUGCACCCCUACGUUUUUCUUCCUGUACCCCCAUAAUUUUGUAAAUCCCAAAACUAACCUUCACCUUUUACUUGAAAAACUAGAGUUUUUUAGGUUACUGGAUAUCGGGAUCUGGGAGUGUGCUACGGAUUCAUUAAUCCGGAAGUGAUUCGUGUUCUUUUUCAAAUAAAAGGGUGUUUCGAAAGCACCUUGUUGAUUUCUGGAUUGCUGAAUCCAGAAGUCUAUUUUUUGUUACGGAUUGAUGGACCCGGAAGAUUAACGGAUUCACCAAUCCAGAAGAUUUAUGGAUUUUCCAAUCCGUAAGAUUUACAAAUUUAUCAAUUCGAAAGAUUUAUGGAUUUCCCAAUCUAGAAUGCAAAAAAGUAAAUGCGGAUUUCCCAUUUCGUAAAAUUACCGAAUUGCAUUGUCCGGAAGAAGAAAAAGUAGUGUGGAUCUUAUGUGCAUUUUGGGGUUUUUAAAAAAUAAUAGGGAUAUUUUUGUCUUUGCAUUACAUUGUGGGGGUGCAGGAAGAAACUGCCUAAAAUAAUUGGACCAAAUAUUUGGGCCAAGUAGUAUAGGUUUUUGGGCUUGUAUUUGGGUCAAUAGCAAAAUAUGACUAGUUAAGGUUAAAAAUGACUAGUUAGGGUAACAAUUGGGCUUCUUUGAGCCUAAUGUAACCCUAAAACGUCUAGGGAAUAAUGAAGAACGAAAAUACCUUGGCAUGGAGCACAUAUUGAGAAUGUUUACGUCAAUUGGGAAGAAUCAUUCCAAAAAUUGUCCAACCUAUAGCAAGUCAUGGAAAACUUUGCUCUUGAUUUCAAGUAACGAAUGACAGCAUAACCAAUAUAUUAUGGCGAGAAGUUAGUUCAAGAGAAAGUCUACUUCAAGAUAUUGUUAUGGACCUUCAAGCCACGCAUUAAUGGGUUUCGGUUCUACAAACCACUGGUACAAGUUGAUAACACACAUUUCUCUAUAGCAAAUACAGAGGCAUCCUCGCAGUCGGAGUGACACAUGAUGAGAAGAAAACAUACUCUUGAUCACCUUUGUUGUGGUUGACGGUGAAACAAUUGAAGCUAGUUUUUUCUUUCUAAACACCCUAAGUAGGUAUAUGAUGACUAUUUUACGGCAAGUGUACCGUGUCAGAAGUAAUAAAUUUGUCUCUAAGAACGAAUAUCAAAUCCACAAGGAACAAUUGAUUUUUCAAGCAUAAUAUUCACUAUAUAAAAAACAAUAUCUAAAAUUGGUUGGAAGUUUGUUGUGUAUGACAUUGCAAGAAUGUAAAUAAAGCAAAGUAAAUAGUUGUUUGAUUCAAUUGAGAAAAUUGGGAUUGAGAUUCAUCAUUCUCACUCGUAUGUACUUUUGCAAAAGAUUAUAAUUUUCAGUCUUGAUUGUUAUUGAUGCACUUACAAAAAUUAUUCAUAUCAAUUCCUUGUUUACAAAAUUAUUAAGAGAGUCUUCUAAAUAUUGAUUCCUCACAUAUUUAUAAAGUUCCUUAUCAUUACGAACAACUGUUAUAAAGAAAUUAACAUUUCAAAUCUAUUCAUAACAUUCAAAUAUGUUAAACAUUAUCAUUUAGGUAAGAUUCUUAAAAAUACUUUCUAGUCAGAUCUAGGGAUCAAAAUCAUGAAAAAUUCAAGGUUUUAGAAUAAAAUUAUAACUCAUUCUUGAUUGAUAUUGACGCACUUAUAAAAAAGAGUCUCCUAAAUAUUGAUUCCUCGCAUAUUUAUAAAGUUCUUUAUCAUUACAAACAGAUGUUAUAAAGAAAUUAACAUUUCAAAUUUAUCCCUAGCAUUCAAAUAUAUUAAACAUUAUCAUUUAGGUCAUAUUAUUAUAACUAAUAUCAAGUCAGAUUUAAGGAUCAAACUCAUGAAUAAUUCAAGGUUUGAGAAUAAAAUUAUAAUACCAAUUAUCAAUCAAGAACUAAAAUAUUAUAGAUAAAUAUCACCUCAAUACAUAAGAGUUUGAACAUAUUACUUUGAAUUCCAAAGGGAAGUAUUAGUCAUUCAUGUUGACCAUUACAAGCAUGGAAAACAAGAAAAAAAGAUCCAGGAUGUUUCUCAUUGACAACUCCUCUUCUAGGGUUUUCUAUCUUCUUUUAUUCUCCCAAUGAUGUUUAGGGUUAUGUCUCACGCCUCAUAUUUAACUUAGUUGAGCUUGGGUCAAGUGACUUCUUGCUUAGGCGAGUUAUUACUUGCUUGGGUGAGUUUGACGAGAAAAAACCCAACUUCUCUAGAGUGAACUCGUCUGGGCAAGCCUUGGCCGAAUUGCUCUAGAGUGAUCUUGCAUGGGUGAGUUCGGACGAGUUUUGAAUAUUCCAACUUUCCCUUUUCGUCUGGUCUAUUCUCAUUUAGCCCUUUCACCUCCAUUUUUGCAUCUAAUCCUAAAAUUAAUACAAAUUUGGGAAUAAAUCGUUGUUAUUCAUAUUAUAAUCAUAAAAUAUGUAAAAAAGUUUAAAUUAAUAAAUUAGGAGUUAAAUUAUAGUUAUUUUAUAAAUAAAUAUUCAUAAGUGUAUGUUUUUUAAUAUGAAAUAUUACUGAAAUAUGACACUUAUCAGUAUGCCACACCUCGGGAUGGAUUGUGCUUAAUUUCAUACUGUCACAACUCCAUUCAUAGUGCAUACACAAGAGAUGAGAGUGGAUAGAAUGAAGGUAACUCGAUGCAUUGCAUUGCAUUGGACACAUUGCACAAAAGUUCACGAGGCGGUUCAAGAAUGCAACACUUAAUAAAGACCUUGUAAAUAUGGGUAGACACUUAUUCUUUCAAAACAACAUUGUUAAAUUAAAUGUAUCACUUUGUAACUUAACUCGUUUGCUUUUAUAUGCAACAUAUAUAAUGACAGAGCCUUGCGUAAACUACUUUCGCAAUAUAAUUAGUAAAGUCAAUUUAUAAGCAACAAAUUGAAUUGACAAAAUCCGUAGAGGUACUUGCAUGGGAUGAAGGUAGAUGAUGAGGUCACUUGACAAUCAACAUAGUUGAAUUCAUCAAUUCAAUCCUAACAAAAAGGAAUCUUAUGAUAUUAUCCACAUUCAUUGCUACAUAUACCAAAUUGAACAAACUUUUACAUAAAGAUGGAUGAAAGUGAUCACGAUAAUUAAUGUUGAUUAUGUCUAUUCUAAAGUUUCAUCAAAGACAUUAAAAUAUUCUUAUUCAAAAUUAAACACUCACAAAGUGUUUGAAUUUGACAAAAGCAACACAAGGUUAUUGGUCAAGGAGAUGGUCAACCCAAUAAAGGUUUGACUAGCUGAAAAAUUUAGGUGAUGUGAUUGUGGGAAGUUCUUGAAACUUCACAUAUCAUGUUGCAUGCCAACACGUACAUCAAUCUUGUGUACAUGUUGGGUGAAGUGAAUAAAGUCUACGACAAUUUGAUUUAUGAUUUUAGACACAAAAAUUACUAGCCAACACAUGAAGGUUCACAAGUUUGUUUCAAUCCAACAACAACAAAAAAAGUCUAAAAGUCAUUCAAAAUCAUCAAAAACUGAAAUGAACAUUAAGAAAUAAAGUUGUCCAAAGCGAUGAUUUUAUUGUCAAACAUCAAGAUACACAAUAAAUGAUUGUUUCAACAACCUUGGUCUGUAAUGAUAAACUUUCCAUCAGUAAUACAUAUUAACAUAAAAAUGAAUAAUAAAUCAUUUACUUAUACAUAUGAUUUUAUAUCAAAUCCAAAUUUAUCUUUAAAUUUAUUUAUUUGUUUUAUUUAAUUAUACUUAAAUACUUAUGUAUAUUAUUUAUUUUAAUUAAGCAUGAAAUUAUCAAAACUUUAUUGUUAAAUGUUUUACAUUUACAAGCUUUUUACAACUAACAAUGCUCUUAUUUCAUAGAAUCACAAUAGGUUAGAGUCACACAUAAUUUCACAACAUAUUUGUGAAAUUGUGAAUGUUAUCCAUCAAAACCAUUUAUGACUAUAAUUGAACAUAUAAAAUCUUCCAAGAGGAUACACUUGACAUAAUAAAUGUUUGGUUGGCAAAGCAGCAACUUGUUGAGAAUGUUUACAUCAAUUUGAAAGAAUCAUUUUACAAAUUGUCCAACCUAUUACAAGUCAUGUCAAACUUUGUUUUUUAUAUUUCAAGUACCCACUAACAACAUAACAUGUUAUGGCCAUGAAUUAGUUCAGGACAAAGUUUACCUAAGAGUUGUUAUGAACCUUCAACAUGCAUUAAUGAGUUUUCUAAUUUCUUCUAUCAUAUUUAUUAAACAUAAAUUUUUAUUUAUUCACAUUUUCAUAUGUUAAAUAUAAUUACACAAUAAAAAGAAUUAACUUUCUUACUUAAUCAAUUUUUUCAUUAAUCUUUUAGGUGCAAUUUUUUUUUAUUAUUUACAAUUUUUUUAAAUAACAUUUAAAGAUUUUAUAUUUGAAUUACUUGUUUAAUUUAUUGCUAGGUUUUCUUUAUUUUCUAUUUUUUAGUUUAAAAUAAAUCAAAAUGUAUACUACAUAUUUUAAUUCAACACAAAAUUAAAUAAAUAAUUUUAUAAAUAUUGAUUUUUAUAAAAGGAUUUUAAUAUAUAUUUUCUACACACAAAAAAUUAACACAUAAUUUUAUUUAAAAAAUAUUUUGCAAAAAAUAUUUUGCAAAUAAUUAGUUUAAGAAUUAUUUUUUAAUAUAUAUAUAUAAAUAUUAUUUCACAAAAUAAUCAGUUUUCCAAAAAAAAUUAAAAAUGUAUAUUUUUCUAAAUAAUCAGUUGUCUAAAUUAUUAUUUUUCAAAAUGAACAUUUUUCUACAUAAUCUAUUUUCUGAGUAAUUAUUUUUUAUUUUUUAUUUCUAAAUUUGUUCUCUUAAUUUUUAACAACAACAAAAAAAAGAAAAUAUUAAACUAUUCCAAAAUUCAGUUCUUCAAUAAUUAAAUUCCGACCGGUAAUGUCUGGUACAUGUUACUCUUGUGAGUCACUAUCUCACAACCAUUCACUUAAUAACUACUUUUGUAAUAACUACUUUUAUAUAUUAUAUUAAAAUAAAAAUAAUAAUAAAUAUAAAUAAAACAUUAAAUGAUGGUGUGAAACCAUCGUCACCCUUUUGAAAAAGGAAAGUCUCCCAGUUGGGACAAAAUUACCAAUAUCAUACACCAUUUCUCAUUAAUAUAAAGUUCAUUUCUCAUUAAUAUAAAGUUUUUAUAUCUUCUACAUACCCUUCUAUUACUUCAUAUCACUUAUUUAAUAUAAUAUUUAAGACACUUAGACAGUAAUUAUUCAUUUAAUAUUAUAUUUAAAAUAUAUAAAUCAGAUUAUAAAUUGGUUAUAAGUUAUUAGCGAUUCUAAAUUACUUUUAUGAAAUUCAUUUAUAUUUUAUGAUGAUGAUUCAAUAUUUUUCUUAAUGGUAUGAGUCAACAAGACCUAUAAAUAGUUGAUGACUCUAUUGGUAAGAGGACACACUAAACUCUAUUAUAUACUCCUACUCUUAACUAUUUGUUAUGAAUUUAUUAUCAUCUUUUUGCUCCUACUUAAGCAUAUGAGAGUCUUUGCAGGUGGACCUCCCUCUCUCAUUGGAGACCGCACCCAGUCCUCACUAAGUUGCACUCUCCGAACUCAGAUGUUUUCCUGGUGUUAUUGACGGAACAACUCUAAAUUCUGAAGCACCUAUUUAUAAAAUGUUUCUACAAAGUGUUUUUAGACACCCUUGAUUAAGAUUUCGAGCAGUGUCUUCAUUGGUAUAUUUUGCUACCUCAUACCAAACUGUUAGAUAACUCACCAAGAUCAAAUAGUCAUUGGAUCAACAAUACUAAUCCAGGUUCAGACACGAACAUCGACAAAACUUUAUCAAUCUUGAACUAAUUAACAGACAUUACUCGAAAUCAAUGGUCGACCUAGGCUUGUGUACGUACUAGCCAUAAGAUUGGGAAUGCCAAAGAGUUAGGGUGAUUGUAUGCAUCCCUUAACCAAGCAUUUAUUGCCAAUGACCAUCAUGAGUAAAACGACCUAAUCAAUGAGUCUUAAAUGUAGUGAAUAAUAGUUAUGCGACUAAUCCAAAGGACUCAUAACGGUCCAUCCGGAGACCAACUAAAAGCUCGUUCCAUGAGGAACGAGUCCUCAUCGAGUUGCACUACUUGAGUUUAUUUUCGGUAGAAAUAUAUCUAAUUUUUUUCUAAUAACUUUACUUUGCGAAACUUCUACAAAUAAAUUAAUACGAUGUCUUUAUCUCUGAAUUAGUUGUCAUAUCCAACCACUUUCAAACUAUGAGGCCUGUACAUGCCUCUUAAAUAUCAGACAUCGACACUCGUAGAACAUGUAUUGAUGAAGUGUCUAAUUCAAAAAAUAUUUGUUGAAUUUAUGACGAUUCUACCACGAUUCUAACACAAUUUUAAAAAGGAGAAAUACUGGUAAAAAAACUGGAAUAUAUUUGUACAUAUAAAUCUUUAUUAUCAAUUUAUAUAAUUUAUAAAUUCGUAUCCAUAUCCGAUAUCCGUAACGUAUGAGUAUCCGUAUGACUAUGUAUGAUAUAUGGGUUAUGAUAUUUUGAUACCUUGCUCCAUCUUACAUCCACAAUAAAUACUAAUAUUUAUAAUAAAAAAAUUAAAAAAGAAGAGAAAAAACCUCCUUAAUAAAAAUACAAACAAAAUGCAAAAUAUUUUAAAAUUAAAAAAUUUAUAAUUUUUAUAAAUAAUUAAAGUAUUAAUAUUUAUUAGGGCGUAGGUUGAAAGAUGGGUGAAAUAAAUUUUUUUAUGAUAUAUAUAUAGCUUUCAAAUAGUUGUUCUUCCAAACCAAAUAUACCCUCCAACUCCCACCACUUUCAUCUAUCUAUCCAUCCAUGGAAGUCAAACACUGGUGGCGCUUCCUACUUCUUCCAAUCGGAGUGGCACUGCUACUACUUCUCACAACCCUUCAACUUCCAUCACUUCCCAACAAGGACCCUCUGCACUGCAACCUAUACUCCACAUGGUGCAUCUCAAACAAUCGCUUCUUCUCAUCAUCACAGAGUAAUCCUAUCAACAAACCAUCAUCCCCUUCCUAUGAUCGUCACCUCUACCAUGAAUCACAAACCCCCCAACACCCUCUUGACCCUCUAACCAUCCAAGAGUUCAACAACAUCCGCACCAUCCUCUCUUCCAUCCCUCUUUUCAACUCCUCGUCACCCUACACUCUCAACUCCAUUGUCCUUCAAGAACCAGACAAAAAGCUUGUCCAAAAAUGGAAACAGGGUGAUCCCCUCUUGCCUAGGAAGGCUUCCGUGGUGGCACUUGUCAAGGGUGUGUCUCAUGUUCUCACCGUUGACCUCGAAACUGACAAGGUGACAAGCCACGAAACCGGUUCGGUUUCUGGGUACCCCAUCGUCACUGCAGAGGACCUGUUGGGAGUGCUAGAGGCUCCCCUCAGGUCCCCUCAGUUCAACAGCUUGUUCACCAAACGUGGUGUCGAUUUGGCAGAGCUGGUAUGCUUGCCAAUCUCUUCAGGGUGGUAUGAGAAAGCAGAGGAGGAGAACAGAAGGCUGAUGAAGGUGCAGUGCUAUUCCAAAGAAGGCACUGUGAACUUCUACAUGAAACCGAUUGAGGGUGUCACUGCUUUGGUUGACAUGGAUAGAAAAGAGGUGGUGGCUAUUUCAGAUGAUGGCCAAAACAUCCCUGUGGCUAAUGGUUCCAACACUGAUUACCGUUACUCCAUUCAGAAGCUCAAUGGGGAGUUGCGGCUGCUGAAUCCAAUAUCUUUGGAGCAGCCAAAAGGUCCAAGCUUUAGUGUUGAUGGGCACUUGGUGAAAUGGGCAAACUGGGAAUUUCACGUGAGACCUGACCCUAGAGCUGGGACCAUAAUCUCACAGGUGAAGGUGAGGGACCCUGACACAUCAAAACUGAGAAAUGUGAUGUACAAAGGGUUCACAUCUGAGCUAUUUGUGCCUUAUAUGGAUCCCACAGAAGGGUGGUACUUUAAGACGUACAUGGAUGCAGGUGAGUAUGGAUUGCAGGCAAUGCCUUUAAACCCCUUGAAUGAUUGCCCUCGGAAUGCUUACUAUAUGGAUGGUGUCUUUGCCUCUUCUGAUGGAACACCUUAUCUCCAACCCAACAUGAUUUGCAUUUUUGAGAGUUAUGCUGGUGACAUUGCUUGGAGACAUGCUGAGUGCCCCAUCACUGGCCUCAGGGUAAGCUUAACUCUCAUAACAGUGGCCCACACUCAUUAGAUAUAAAUAAAUUUCAUAAAAUUAGAUCCAAAUCUCAGAUUAUAAAUCGAUUUUAUAGGAUUGAAUUAAGCUUAAAGUCCACGUUAACAAGUUAUUGAUAUGAGGAGUGUCUUAUAGAUCACAAGGAGUGUUAUUUCCAACCUCUUAAGUGUGUGCUUGGUUUGACAUAAUGAACGUUAAAGACCUUAUAAUCCAAAAACAGACUGUUAAAAGCAAACCCCCACGUACUGUUAGUUUCUAAUUAUGGAUGGACACUUAAAUUAUGAAUUUUGACUAUUUUGUAGCUGCGUGUUCAUUAAAGAUUGUUCACUCUAUACAUAGUUGAAUGGAUUUUAUCUCUGAACUUUGUUUGGGUACAUGCUGUGGUGACAGGUUACAGAAUCAAGGCCAAAGGUGACAUUAGUGGUUAGGAUGGCAGCAACGUUGGGAAACUAUGACUACAUCAUGGAUUGGGAAUUUCAAACCGAUGGGCUAAUCAGAGCAAAGGUUAGCCAAGAAAAUUCAAUUUUAAUUCAACAUAUUCUUCUUUAGGAUUAAUGACAGUCCCAUAACCUUGCAGGCAUGUGUAUUAGAAACCGAUCGAAAUUUGAUGUGAUACACCUUGAAAAGUUUAUGCACACAACACAAGCACCCACUCCUAUAUUCACUUCAAAAGUUUUGGGAACAUAUUGAUACAUAAACAAAGAAAAUAUGAUAAAAACCAGUAACUUGGGUUUUUUUGCCAUUUAGAAUAAGGCAUGAUGAGACAACAAAUAAUUAUGCACUACGGUAAGAUGGGUUAACCUUUCUAUAUUGAUGAUCACGGUUUCUCUUCAUAUAUAUGUGUUUAGUAGUUUAUCAUAAUAUAAUACAUAGGCAUUUGUCUGAUGCAGGUUGGACUGAGUGGUAUGUUGAUGGUGAAAGGAACUACCUAUGAGAAUAUGGACCAAGUCCCUGAAAACGACUAUCUUUAUGGAACCCUUUUGAGUGAAAAUAUUAUUGGUGUGAUCCAUGAUCACUAUGUCACAUAUUACCUAGACAUGGACGUUGAUGGCUCAGACAAUUCAUUUGUUAGGGUGAAAAUGAAGAAGGAAGAGACGAGUUCAGGAGAAUCACCCAGAAAGAGUUAUUUAAAAGCUGUUAAAGAAGUGGCAAAGACAGAGAAAGAAGCUCAAAUAAGACUGAAACUGUAUGAGCCAUCAGAAUUUCAUGUGGUGAACCCAUUGAAGAAGACAAGGGUAGGGAACCCUGUGGGGUAUAAAUUGGUUCCAGGUGGCACAGCAGCUAGCCUGCUGGAUCCAGAAGACCCACCACAGAAAAGAGC